CAAAUAUAAGAUCCAUUCAAGGCCUUCUCACUAUUAAAAGGUCAGUUGUAUUUAAAGUGCUUACUAGAAGUUUUCCUCCUACUUUGGCAUUUUCAAAUUUUAUCUGAAGGAAAACAGAAAAAUAAAAGAAUACCGUACUUCAGUUCUAACGAAGCAAGAAGAAUCCAGACCAGACCUACAAAAAAAUGGCUAUAGUGGCCCCUAGAAAUUAAGAAUUACUACCCCUAUCCCCAGUUUUCAAGGCCUUAUAGUUUGGACAAAGA
Molecule: long non-coding RNA, 263 nt
Filed under: Mytilus galloprovincialis (Mediterranean mussel)
Lineage: Eukaryota; Metazoa; Mollusca; Bivalvia; Mytilida; Mytilidae
Source: RNAcentral